This 51-nucleotide transfer RNA is filed under the name Diversibipalium mayottensis. RNAcentral describes it as "tRNA-Gln". The record is from RNAcentral. Lineage: Eukaryota; Metazoa; Platyhelminthes; Tricladida; Geoplanidae.
AGUGUUUAUGCAUUUAAAGUUUUGAGUUUUAAGGAAUAGAUAGAGAUCUUU